Frankliniella occidentalis (western flower thrips) is the source of this 833-nucleotide long non-coding RNA. RefSeq lists it as uncharacterized. The record is from RefSeq and is a predicted model, not a curated record. The transcript is spliced from 2 exons. NCBI's taxonomy places the organism in Eukaryota, Metazoa, Arthropoda, Insecta, Thysanoptera, Thripidae.
GCAAAGUGAUUGAAAAGAUGGAACGGUGUCAGUUCACAGAAUCAAAAGUUUAACCUAACUUUUUGCUUGGGCAGUGUAACAUAAUUACUGUUGACUAUCAAUUAGUGCUGUUUUGAUUCUGCAAUGGUCAAGAAUAUAUUCAACAUUUUGAGUGGGAUGCCCUUUGAAGGCAUUGCAAGAAAAUUAGUGAAGCGAAAGUUGCUGGAUUACUCAGUGGACCCAACUUAAUGCACUACAUCGGAUUCCAAAGGAUCAUGAGGAUUUGAAGUUACUAGCCGAUGGACUGCGAGCUUGCUGUGAGAUGAAUCAGGACUAGACGGAUAAGUGGUGAGUACCUGAUAGCCAAGCCAAGCCAUUCCCUUUAGUAAUUUACAUUCUGUAAAAUCAAUUUAUGGGUAAUAAGCAGCAGUAGGUUAUUUAACAUUAUUUAAACCCAGGAGUUUUGCUAGAGUGAUCAUUAGUUAGCAAAGCUGCAAAAAAGGAAAGCUAAAAAAGUUGCCGCAGUACUUCUUUUUCUCUAAGAAGGUAGUUUUAUUUUUUUGUUGUGUGUAUGUGACUGUUUCAAAAGAUAAAAUAAUUAUGAAAUAGUCAGUUUAUACUGAGUAUACUUUAAGCACCGAAAAACAUAUAAUAUUAUUAGGAUAUCAGGACAUACAGUGCAGUCCUGUGGCAAAGUGUUUCCUCCUGUCACAGUUUCAUACGUUGAAACCAAUGUCAAAGAUCGUAACUUCUUUGUUUAAGGAUCUGAAUUACGUUUUCCAAAGCUUUGGGGAUGUAAUGAUACAUUGUAUUUCGUUUUAUCUAAAACCAUAUUGGGAUUGUUAUUAUUGAGC